This 102-nucleotide unclassified non-coding RNA is filed under the name Turnip crinkle virus. RNAcentral describes it as "RNA (102-MER) from Turnip crinkle virus (PDB 2KRL, chain A)". The stretch from base 57 to 101 matches the Rfam family "Turnip crinkle virus (TCV) repressor of minus strand synthesis H5". The record is from RNAcentral. Lineage: Riboviria; Orthornavirae; Kitrinoviricota; Tolucaviricetes; Tolivirales; Tombusviridae.
GGACGGUGGCAGCACUGUCUAGCUGCGGGCAUUAGACUGGAAAACUAGUGCUCUUUGGGUAACCACUAAAAUCCCGAAAGGGUGGGCUGUGGUGACCCUCCG